GAGUCUUUGUAGUAAUACAAGGCAUACGGCUCAGUAACGCGUAGUCAACCUACCCUAUGGACAAGAAUAAUCUCGGGAAACUGAGCAUAAUUCUUGAUAGAUCAUAAUGCCUGGAAUGGUUUAUGGUUAAAAUGAUUCGUCGCCAUAGGAUGGGACUGCGGCCUAUCAGCUUGUUGGUGAGGUAAUGGCCCACCAAGGCGAUUACAGGUACGGGCUCUGAGAGGAGAAGCCCGGAGAUGGGUACUGAGACACGGACCCAGGCCCUAUGGGGCGCAGCAGGCGAGAAAACUUUGCAAUGUGCGAAAGCACGACAAGGUUAAUCCGAGUGAUUUCUGCUAAAGAAAUCUUUUGCCAGUCAUAAAACCACUGGUGAAUAAGGGGUGGGCAAGUUCUGGUGUCAGCCGCCGCGGUAAAACCAGCACCUCAAGUGGUCAGGAUGAUUAUUGGGCCUAAAGCAUCCGUAGCCGGCUUUGUAAGUUUUCGGUUAAAUCCAUGUGCUCAACGCAUGGGCUGCCGAAAAUACUGCAUGGCUAGGGAGUGGGAGAGGUAGACGGUACUCAGUAGGAAGGGGUAAAAUCCUUUGAUCUAUUGAUGACCACCUGUGGCGAAGGCGGUCUACCAGAACACGUUCGACGGUGAGGGAUGAAAGCUGGGGGAGCAAACCGGAUUAGAUACCCGGGUAGUCCCAGCUGUAAACGAUGCAGACUCGAUGAUGCAUUGGCAUAAUAGCCAGUGCAGUGUCGCAGGGAAGCCGUUAAGUCUGCCGCCUGGGAAGUACGUACGCAAGUAUGAAACUUAAAGGAAUUGGCGGGGGAGCACCACAAGGGGUGAAGCCUGCGGUUCAAUU
RNAcentral lists this ribosomal RNA (847 nucleotides) under uncultured archaeon. RNAcentral describes it as "bacterial SSU rRNA". It matches the Rfam family "Archaeal small subunit ribosomal RNA", at positions 55 to 907 of the family's 1478-position model. The record is from RNAcentral.